Molecule: ribosomal RNA, 253 nt
Filed under: uncultured bacterium
Lineage: Bacteria
Description: partial 16S ribosomal RNA
Rfam family: Bacterial small subunit ribosomal RNA
Source: RNAcentral
UACAGAGGGUGCAAGCGUUGUUCGGAAUUAUUGGGCGUAAAGCGCGUGUAGGCGGCUUUGCAAGUCGGGUGUGAAAGCCCUCGGCUCAACCGAGGAAGUGCGCCCGAAACUGCAGAGCUUGAGUACCGGAGAGGAUGGCGGAAUUCCCCAAGUAGAGGUGAAAUUCGUAGAUAUGGGGAGGAACACCGGUGGCGAAGGCGGCCAUCUGGACGGAUACUGACGCUGAGACGCGAAAGCGUGGGGAGCAAACGGG